AGUCGAGCGAUGAACACCUUCGGGUGUGAAUUAGCGGCGAACGGGUGAGGAACACGUGAAGAAUCUGCCUUCAACUCUGGGAUAACUCCGGGAAACCGGGGCUAAUACCGGAUAUGAGCCUCGAUCGCAUGAUUGGGGCUGGGAAGUUUUUCGGUUGAAGAUGACUUCGCGGCCUAUCAGCUUGUUGGUGAGGUAAUGGCUCACCAAGGCGACGACGGGUAGCCGGCCUGAGAGGGCGACCGGCCACACUGGGACUGAGACACGGCCCAGACUCCUACGGGAGGCAGCAGUGGGGAAUAUUGGGCAAUGGAGGAAACUCUGACCCAGCGACGCCGCGUGAGGGAUGAAGGCCUUCGGGUUGUAAACCUCUUUCAGUAGGGAAGAAGCGAAAGUGACGGUACCUACAGAAGAAGCACCGGCUAACUAUGUGCCAGCAGCCGCGGUAAUACAUAGGGUGCAAGCGUUGUCCGGAAUUAUUGGGCGUAAAGAGCUCGUAGGUGGUUCGAUACGUCGGAUGUGAAAAUCAGGGGCUCAACCCCUGACCUGCAUCCGAUACGGUCGAGCUAGAGUUUGGUAGGGGAGACUGGAAUUCCUGGUGUAGCGGUGGAAUGCGCAGAUAUCAGGAGGAACACCGAUGGCGAAGGCAGGUCUCUGGGCCAAUACUGACACUGAGGAGCGAAAGCGUGGGGAGCGAACAGGAUUAGAUACCCUGGUAGUCCACGCCGUAAACGGUGGGCGCUAGUUGUGCGAACCUUCCACGGUUUGUGCGACGCAGCUAACGCAUUAAGCGCCCCGCCUGGGGAGUACGAUCGCAAGAUUAAAACUCAAAGGAAUUGACGGGGCCCCGCACAAGCAGCGGAGCAUGCGGCUUAAUUCGACGCAACGCGAAGAACCUUACC
Molecule: ribosomal RNA, 899 nt
Filed under: uncultured bacterium
Lineage: Bacteria
Description: bacterial SSU rRNA
Rfam family: Bacterial small subunit ribosomal RNA
Source: RNAcentral